UGACCUAAACCCUCACCAGAGUAACAAUUGGAGGGCAAGUCUGGUGCCAGCAGCCGCGGUAAUUCCAGCUCCAAUAGCGUAUAUUAAACUUGUUGCAGUUAAAAAGCUCGUAGUUGAAUUUCUGCGUUAUCGAGUUAUUGACUCUUGUCUUUAAUCGAUUUCGCUUUUGGGAUUUAUCCCUUUUUACUUUGAGAAAAUUAGAGUGUUUCAAGCAGACUUUUGUCUUGAAUACUUCAGCAUGGAAUAAUAGAGUAGGACUUUGGUUCUAUUUUGUUGGUUUUUGAACCUUAGUAAUGGUUAAUAGGAACGGUUGGGGGCAUUCGUAUUUAACUGUCAGAGGUGAAAUUCUUAGAUUUGUUAAAGACGAACUACUGCGAAAGCAUUUGCCAAGGACGUUUCCAUUAAUCAA
This 409-nucleotide ribosomal RNA is filed under the name Babesia venatorum (nom. ined.). Its description in RNAcentral is "SSU rRNA". It matches the Rfam family "Eukaryotic small subunit ribosomal RNA", at positions 521 to 980 of the family's 1831-position model. The record is from RNAcentral. Lineage: Eukaryota; Apicomplexa; Aconoidasida; Piroplasmida; Babesiidae.